GACGAACGCUGGCGGCGUGCUUAACACAUGCAAGUCGAACGGGGCGAAGUGAUAGCUUGCUAUUAUGGAGCCUAGUGGCAAACGGGUGAGUAACGCGUAGGCAACCUGCCCUUCAGAUGGGGACAACACCUCGAAAGGGGUGCUAAUACCGAAUGACGUUUCCUGGUCGCAUGACUUGGAAACCAAAGGCCGGGCAACCGGUCACUGAAGGAUGGGCCUGCGUCUGAUUAGCUAGUUGGUGGGGUAAUGGCCUACCAAGACGAUGAUACGUAGCCGACCUGAGAGGGUGAUCGGCCACAUUGGGACUGAGACACGGCCCAA
RNAcentral lists this ribosomal RNA (321 nucleotides) under uncultured bacterium. RNAcentral describes it as "bacterial SSU rRNA". It matches the Rfam family "Bacterial small subunit ribosomal RNA", at positions 28 to 334 of the family's 1533-position model. The record is from RNAcentral.